UAGCAUAGAGCGUAAAUGAUGCACAAGGUAGAACACCUAAAGAUCCGGCUAGCUAGCUAUUUGGAAAUAGUUUUCAUUGAUCAGCCAAAAAGGCUUCAUUACCAAAGCGAAUUGCUUUCCUAUGAAAGAAAUCAACCUACAUAGAAGCCUCACUUGCAUUUCCUGUUAUACAUAAAUGUCAACAUCGAUGAACUACUUUAAUGUCAAUCAGAAUGAGAUUGGCUCAUUGAAAGGGAUUGUCAUAUUCCUUCACAAGUCCUCAGUUGAAUCAAUCCCACUGAAGCCUUUGCGAUGUGUAGUAAUCCGAUGUCUAUUUCGGUGUGCGUGUGAGGCCAGUUGCAACAAAGCAGCAAGCAUUGCAACAUGAUGUUAUCAAGGUAUCAAUAUGUGUAUGCUUCUCAUUAUUAUCAAAGGAAUGAAUAAUAAUGCUAUCUGUGGCCAUAAGCCUCUAAAUUCACCUAUUUUUUAAUCCUGUUUUGACUCUUGACUAGGUGUAGGACGCCUCUGAACAAGAAACCGCUUUGUGCUUUCUAAUACACCAAAGAAGAUUGAACCACCAAUGCCUAUCCACAAAACUCUUGGCUCUAUCCCCUGCAGUGUCAGCCCAGAAUCCAAAACAAGAAUGAGAAUAUUUUUUUUCAAUAUGCCAAUAUUUUUCUACUUUAGGUUGAUGAAUAUCAUUCUCAAAAUAACCAUCAUUUCAUAACCUACAAAUUCUCAUAAUUUCAUACAGCUAUAACAUUUAUUUCUUUAUUUAUUUUAGUUACCAGGUCACAUCAGUCUAAUUAUAAAAUCAAUAUAAUUAUCUACGCAUGGUUGUAUAUAUCAGCUUCUGCAAACAUAUCUAAAACAACAUACAUGAAUGCAAAAGGCUUGAGUGAGACAAAAAUAACAAAAGAGGACCCAACUGACUUCACUAGCUGUUCACAAUUAUCAGAUUAUUAAGUACAGAACACCUGAAGCUUGUGGCAUUGUAUGCUCAAGAGUCAAGAGAUGACCUCUUGACUUUUUUUUUUCUGCAUUAGAAUGAAAAUGGUCAAGCUAAUUGGUGUGAGACCAUUUAUUCUCAAAUAGUAGCACUGAAUAUUCUAUAAGAUACAGAAAUAUUCAUUUGACAUUGAGUUUGUAAAAUGCAAAAGGAAAUAUGGAUGAUACACACCUUGAGAAGAGCAGUAGGUCCUUCUUCUCUAACAAGAGUUUGAACACAAUCAAAGAUCCCGUUGUACUGGUUAGCAGAACCCUGAACCAUUAACCUUGUCUUAAUCACAUCAAGUGGUGUAGUUAUAGCUCCAGUUAGUGCACCAGCAAAAGCACCAAUGAUAGCAUUUUCUGGAUCAUUCAAUUCUCUCCGUGCCUGCCAAAAAAAAAGAGCGAAAAAAAGUUUUUAUGCAAAUUCGACAUGCUAAUUUUUAUUGCUUCUCUCUGCUAAGAAAGAUGUCAGUUACUUAACAACUGACAAAUUUUUGACUAAAUAUUUCCAUCAAUCACCUAAAAGUCAUUCUUGCAAAUAUUUUUGAGAUUACAAAAGCAUAAAAUAUGGAGCUAAAUAAGAGGCAUUCAAGUAAAAAGUGUGCAGCAGGAUGAAGGAAUGGCAAGCUGUCAAGCAACAGGAAUACACAACGCAACUUUGAGUGUCAUUUCACGAAAGAUGAGAGGUAUACCGCCACUUUAUACCCUAACCGAAGUUGUUCAUAGAUACAAAACUGAAUCGCAUCAAAUGGCAAAUCUCUCAGUAAAAAUGAUCCAUAUCCCGCAUAGAGCCCCUUAAAACCUUCCUUAGAGACAAUGAGGCGGACAGCAUCAGGGGCUGAGGCAAAUUGCCCAGUCUGCAUUCUUUGCUUAACAACCUCUGUUGGAACACGAAUUAGAGAAGCAGCAACCCCUCCAAUGGCACCUGCAGUUAGAUGAGCUACAGCACUAAGAUUUUCAGGAAACAUCCUCAACAAUUUCUGCUUUGUAGGCUCAUACACUCCAACAAAUAAUGCAGAAGCCGGUAAGACACCAGCAAGAUUUCCAGCUAAUCCAGAGUAAAGACCCUUCAAAAUUAUUUUUCCACCACCACGAGCUGCCUGAAGCCUUGUCUUUAUUGUGUCGAUUGGAUAUAAUGCCGUUUCAACUACAACACCAGCUAUACCUCCUGCUAUAACUCCCUCAAAUAAAGCACGCAAAAAAUCGAAUUGUUUUUCUUCUUGCACUCUCAUGGAUGCAAAAGGCUUUCUUGUUUCCAUGUGCGAAGAGUUUUGCAUUUUCCGAAUUGGUGCAUCUGAAGGGACCUUGGAAGAGCCUCUUGCAUCGAUAGCUAAUGUAAAAGGACCCAUCAGAGGUGUCCAGCAACAAACUAGAGUAUGAAGAAGGCAGCACAGCAGCUUCGGUCUAGUGGAAACUGCUACAGAAGGAGAUGAUGAGAAUGAGAACGUUCAAAACCAACCUCAUAUGCUUGGAAGUAUUAUUAA
RNAcentral lists this unclassified non-coding RNA (2453 nucleotides) under Hevea brasiliensis (rubber tree). Lineage: Eukaryota; Viridiplantae; Streptophyta; Magnoliopsida; Malpighiales; Euphorbiaceae. The record is from RNAcentral.